AAUCUCCAGUUAUGCUUAGAGUUGUAAGAAAGUGAAAACAAAUUUAAUUAUGCAAGGUCCCAGUUGUGCCAAAGGUGUUAUAAAGAAUAUCUUUAUGGGGACAUUCAGUGUAACAAAUUGGUUCAUGUUAUUAUUAGUGUGCUCGGUUGUGCAUUUUCUUUAUAUCAGUUUAAAGUUUAAUGAUGGUGCUUGUAGAGCUAAUUACCAAGGAUCUGCACAGCACUCGUUGGGAUAGUCACCCAAAAGCCUUACAUUUUUGCAAUGCUAAGUUAUCAAUACCUCCAAAGUAUCUUUGACUAAAUUCUUUGUGUUCAGAUAUGUACAAACAGGCACCUAAAAGUGGAAUAUCUGCGAUCGUGUCCCCGGUUCCCCUGAAGCAUAAACAGCAAGUGUUCCUUCAUUCCUGCAUGCCAGCAGAGGAUUGCUGGCCAGCACCAGGAUUUACUACACUGCACUGGGAGAUUCUCAGUGAAGGGCUGGUUAUCUUGGGUGAUAGGAAUGUUCCAAAGGCUGGGAGCAGGGAAACGUGGGCAAGGAAGGCAAACAGUAGCCAUACAUGUUCCCUGACAACAACAGUUGCGUAGGCGUGCUGAGAAGGAAUGCUAACUCUUCAUAGUAAAAAUGAAAAUCUUAAUACACAGCAAGAAUAUCAUGCAUCUCCUGCCUGAGGAAAAGGAUUUGGGCUGGGCAACCCAGAUCGUGAACCGAGGGCUUUUCCAGUAGCACUCGCUGUGUCCUGCCUGACCUGGGAAGUCAUGGUCUCCCAUGGUGAAAACAGAUUUGAGGUACCAGUGUAGUCACGUAGGAGCACUGGUCAUGAGAAAAAUGCUGUGACAUUAGAAGGAUGCGGGAAGAUUUGAUGCAAAAAAACCCCCCUGUUAUUUUUGGAAUUGAUGGAGAAGUCAGGUAUGGUUUCUGGAUGAGGCUGUGCUGUCUAAACCAUUUUCCCAUUCUUUUCUGGCAGCUCUGUUCCCCACUGCAGCCUCUCUGGAGGUGAUGCUAACAACAUGGAUAAAUGAAGCUUUCAAAUGUGUGCAAGUCUUCCCACUAGUUUUGUGAGGCCCUGUGAGGGCAAGUCUUUUCUUCUCUGUUACAGGAGCUUUUCUUUCCAAGAGCACGAUGUGAUUCUCAGCCCCGAAGAUUGCUUUCCUGCCAAUAACGAUCCCUGUAGGCCACCACCAGACUGUUUUGCCUUUAACCCCUCCUGGCCUGAAACACUUGGACCCACUCUCUUCUUCCCCACCCACCUUGAAGAUAAUCACAAGGCAACCAUCUCUCUUCCUCCCACUCCUCCUCCGCUUUGCAGGAUCACAAUGAAGGGCUAGUCUUGGGAGCUGACUGUGGGACUGACCCUUGAUUAAUGGCAGGAGGGGGCUGGCAGGAGCAACAGGCAGCACUGUGUGCCAUGGCCAGGGAGGGAUUUAUCCCACUCAUCUGACACAUGGCACUUAGCUCUUCUGCAGUGUUGUGGGUAUGGAGCCAGGGCUGCAAGCCUUGGCUUUCAGUACCUCUGAUCUCCAGGAGUGGCCUGUAUUUCAAACAUACCUUAAAAGAGAAAGGAGUGUAUCUCAGCCUUGAAUGUCAUGUUCCUGGGCUUUACACUCAAGUAUGUGGGGGGAGGCAAGUGAGAGAAAAGCAGCAAAGCACAGCAUGAGUAUUUCUCCCAGCAGAUCUGCAGGCACUGUUAUAAAAAAAGGGGUUGUUCCUGCCACUGACAGGAACGUGGGAUGGGGUAGGAUUCACUUCUCACCACCUCAGAAACCUGUGAUGGUUUCAUCAUCACAGCUGCAAACAUCUGCAGCUGAACUGGGCACUCCAGGCUUCCCUUAUUAGUUAAUGGAGAUGAUUAGCUAUUUUUAGGCAUGACUCACCUGUCCUGUUUUAGCUCUCUAUUUUAGUGCAUGAUGAAUUGUGUCAUGUCCAUUAACAAUUCAGGAGAGAGUCUAAUCCAAGCAGCUCAUAUGUGGACCUCUUAACAGAUUUAUUUGGAUGAGUUCUACACCUGUCUGUGUAGGUUCUUAAAGCACUGGGUGUCUUCCAAGGCCAAAAUGGAGGCAGACAGUGAGAGAGACAGUGCAGAAAGCUCUUUUGCUGUCUUUGCCCAGAAAGCAGCAUCUUUUCAGGUGUGACUUUGGCAGCCAAACAGUUGUGCUUGUGGUCAUUUUGUGCUGUCAGAAGUAUCACUGGUCCUUGUCUAUAAGCAUUGUGGUCUCCAUCUGUACAAGCUCCCUCUAGCCAGAAGAAGAAAAGGAAUUUUAGUUACCCUCCCUCUCAAAAAGCUGCUGUUUUGUUGACAGAUUCCUCCCUCUCCUUUGCCCUCUUCCUGCCCUCCUUUCCCUUGUGGCCCUCUGUCUCGACCCCUCUUGAUGCAGCCAGACCUGCCAGUUCUCUGUAGCUCCUCCAAGGUUGCUGAUCUUCCUUACCUUUUGCUGAAACUAAGCAGAGAGGCAUAGAGGCUGCUAUCAGCUGCUACACCUCAAAAGUGCUCUACUGUGAGACCUGCAAUGACAGGCCCCUACACGUGACCCACACCCCUCUGCUCCUGCAUGGUACAGAGAGCUUGCUGUGGGUUGGAAGAGGCAGCAGGAGGGAAUACUGGGCAUUUCUAAGCUGAUGAAAACAGCAGGAAUUCCCAAGUGGUGGCCCAUGUGCAGGGACCAGGUGUAGGCAGCAAAGAUGUCCGUAGGGAUGAAGUACAAAAAUGAUGAAAGACUGCUUUGUCUUCCACACCAUUUUUCUGCGGCUGACGUGGGACCGUGGUGUUUUCCAUGGGAAUGGAAUUCCUGUAUAGCACAUCUCUCAGCUUCUGGCUGCUCAGUGAACUGCACAAGCUCUUUGAUGACACCACAUGCCAUGCACUGUGAGUGGUCUCUGGCUGCCCAUACCCUGCCUGGCAAAGUACCAAACAGCCCAGCUGUCCCAGCAGUGAGGUCUCUCACAGUGGUGGUGUCCAUUAUGAUACCCUCAGGGCAAGUUGGCUGUAGAGGUGGGUUAUAUGGAGACUGAAGAGUGAGGCAUUUGUGAUAAAUUUGGGUGUCUAAUGGAACCAGAAUUGAACUUCUCAUUUCCAAGCCUGAAUGUUGCUGCAUCUCUUCCUUCCCUUGCUUUUUAAUCUGAAGGAUUUAGCUUCAACUUGUUUCAUCCCUUAUUACACCAUAUCCUUAUCAGUGGUCUAAAACUCUGCUGGAUAUUUAUUUUAAUCUCAGUUCUGACCUGAGUGUCCAUACCAGCUGUCUAAUGAUGGUACAGUCAUGAGCUCCAAGAUCUGCCAUCCCUAAGCUCAGUCUGAAUCUAGUACCUGUUCUCAACUGGAAUAUCUGUGUACCCCUACACAUUUCCAUUUGCUAUCUUCCCAGCUAACACAGUGAAUCCUGGCUGGACUGAGGUCACUGAAUAAUGCUUUGUUCUGCUCACCAUUUGCAUUUCAUUUCCAGGCCAUCAUUCCAAGAUAGAUGAAGAACUUGACCUGUGAUGGAUUGUAGAGGCUUUGGAUAAAGGGCGAACAUUGAUCUUCAUGGAUAGGAUUUCUUCUCUAUAGAAGUGCAGAUGUCCAAGGAUGUGAAUGUGCUGGCCCAAAGUGGAAGAGGAGGUGGAGGACCUUGGAUUCCAGGGAGAGAAGCUGGAGAACAGUGCAGAAAGAAGGAAGCUGUGAAGGAAAUCGGAGGCAAGCAGAAGACAGACCUUCAUUCUCAUUGCUGCAGCCGCUCCUGCCUUGAGGCAGUGAAAGGAACUCCUGUUUGCUCUGCACUGAUACACAAUUUCACUGGAACUGAGUCAUAUCCGAUGUAUCUGCUAAACCCUGGCUGAAGACAAGAUCAUCUCAACACAGCAAGGUUUGGCUUUCUUUUUCAUGGUUGAAAAAUGUGUUUUGAAUUCUGUGCUACAGAGAAGAUCUAGCAACAAAAUGUGUGUCUGAGCUGUAAUGGCAGCUGCUGUUGCAGCUUCAUAUGAGUUCCAUCCAAUGAAGUUUGCACUCAGAGGAAAUUAUCAGUAAUCUGUAACACUCUUGAUUUGCUGUUGGCUUUGCCUCGGUUCCUACACUGAUGAAAGUGCAUUUUAAGUUGAAUUUUUCAGGUCCUCUGUAUGUAGUAUUACACAGAUUGGAAAUAUCUGCCAUGUUUUCCCCUGUUUAGAAUACAACCAUUUAUGACACCUGUACAGUGUCUCAUGUUCUUAUUUGCACAGUAGACAACGAAGUUUAGAAAGCAUAGUUUGUUAAACAGAGCAUGGUUAAGGAGAGAUGGCUGGGAAAAAGCGUCCUUCCUAAGAUUAUAAGUGUUAAUUCCUAUCUGUUUUUCCUGACCUUACUCUCAUUAUUUUAAGAAAAUAUCAAGCAUUUGCUUUCACAUCAUAUUGCAGUUGAAAAUACAGUGUUAAAAUUGUGUUGGAUGACCAGAAGGGGUGGCCUCAUGAAGGUAAUUGAUGGCAGCAGCUGGAGAGAUAGUGAACAUGUCUGUGAGGUUUGAAAUAAAUAACAAUGGUAUAAAAUAAGUUUUGUGAUUUUUUUAAUCAUGCCUUUGACACUGUCCCCAGCACUAAAUCUUCUUUAUGCCUUUGUAUAAUGCUCAGCAGAGACUCUUGUUGUAAAUGAAUCACUGAUUUGGCAACCUCAGCUGACACUCCAAAGAGUUGAGGACUGGUUCAUCUCAGAUGACCACAAGCUGAAAUUUUGGGAUAAAUUUGACCUUCUAUCUGUUAAGUGGUGACCUCAGGUAAGCCCAUGAGAUAAUUGAUGACCUUGAAUCACCCCAAGCUGAAAUUUUGGGAUAAAGUUGAUCUCUGGUAGCCUCAUGUGAUAAUUAGUGAUCUUGGAUGGCCAUGAGCCAAAAUUUUGGGAUACAGAUCAUCUCUAGUAACCCCAUAUGAUAAUUGGUGAUCUCAGAUGACCCCAAGCUGAAAUUUUGGGGUAAAGCUGACCUCCAGUAAGCCCAUCUAUUAACUGACAACCUCAAGUAACUCCACGUGCUAAUUAGUGACCUCGGAUGACCACGAAAUUUUGGGGUAAAGGUGACACCUCUAGUAACUCCAUCUGUUAAUUGGUGAUCUCAAGGAACUCUGUGUGCUAAUUGAUGACCUCAGAUGAUGCCCAUGUUCUAACUGAUGACCUCUUCUGCCCCCAGACACAAUGUUGUGCAUGUCAGCACAUUAACUCCUAGAAGUCAGUUACAGAUGCCCGAGUACCAAAUCUACCUCUACAGGUCAGCUCAGGCCCAUCCUGUCCUGUAUUUCUUUCUCUGAAGUCCCCUGAGAUGUCCCCAUGAGCCCACAGUGUCCCUUGAAGUGACCUGGGGACCAAACAUGCUUCAGGACAUCCACUGAGAUCAUCCUGAGACUUUUGGGCUCCCCCAGGGCUCAAGAAUUAGGCCCUACUGUAAUUUGUCAUCACCCACUUGCUUUCUUGUGAUCAUUUGAGGUCACUUAGGUACCAGUUAUGUUCCUUGGGAUGACCCAAGGUCAGUUCCUGGGCUGCUCUCAGAUGCUCUCCAGCUCCAGUGUCAGUUGAAAGGAGUUGGACUGGCAUGGAACCACUACAAAAUUUGCAUUUCAUACUUGCUCUGAGUGCAGCUUUCAGGCAAGACCCUCUGAGAGGAGCACAUGAAGAGCGAGAAGGGUGACCCCCAUGCAGCUUCCCCUCUCCUUCCCCUGACAGAAAGCACAGUUUAAAAAAAAGGUAAUGUCAAAAAUGGAAAACAAGCAGCAGCCUUCAUUUAUUUCAGGAGAUAAGGGGAAGAGUCAACCUGUUUUCCUUAGAAAACUGUUAUGAAGUAAAAAGAAACAAAACAAAAAGACCAAAACAGUGAGGGGAUUUGAGGGGAUUGGAUGGGGAAAAAGACCACAACACAAAUUACUCCAAGAGAGGAGGAGGGAGACAGGGCUAUAUGAAAGAAAAUCAGACAAUACAGAGUUCAAAUGUGCAGUUCCAAAUGCCCAGCACUAGCUGAAGAAAAAAGACCUCUCCUUCUAGCUUUUCCCUCCUUCCUUUUCUGUGAGCUACAUCCUGCUGGAGCUCAGAGCAUGGAAAGCAUGGAGACAAUGCCUUUGCUGAAGCCCAAGAUGACCCAGCUUCUAUCCAGGUACCAGUACACAUAUGAAGAUGCUUCCCCCUUGUGUUAACUGGUUGAAAAACCGGAAUGAGACCAUAAGCACCAGCAAACCCCCAGGAAGUCCCAGGAGCUGCCCUGCAUGGCAAGGAGCUGGGGCAGCACAGGGCAGGCACGGGGCAAGGCACCCUCCCACACCAUCCACAAGCUCAAAGGAGGCACAACCAUACUAAACACAGUAAACACUGUUGCAGAACCCCUUUAGAUGCCUCUUAAAGGAUGAGUAAACCCAUACCUCGUGCUGACCUGCAACAAAAUCCAAGGCAAAAUCCUGCUCCUUUCAAAUCAAUGUCAAAACACAUAGUGACACUACUGCAACCAGUACAUGACCAUUUUCUAAAAUGCCAUCAUCUUCCAGUGUCAGUCCCCAUGCUAUGUUUAAUAGGUUUGCUCAUCCCUUCAGAAAAAAGCUGUGUUCUGGUGCAACUCCAUCAAAACCAGUGGUCAGAGCAGAGCAUCAGACAGUGUCCACAACUUCAAAUCUGCCAGACACUUCUUCAGAAUGCAAUCUAGAGGAAAGCAAAAUACCAGGCCCUCAGAAUUUGAUAAUAAAACACCCAGGAGAACCAUGCACUUGUGAAAGAAAAAAGCAAUGGAACUGAAACCAAACACCUACUUGGUCAGCAGGAGAUCAGAAGUCCUGUUCAGCUCCCAGCAACCUGCCUGUCAGUCUGGAAUAUUGCUGUAAAAUCUAUGCAGUUAUGCUGCCUUCACAUGGAUACCUCCAGCCAGAUGAAGUUUGUGUGUGUGUGGAAUUUGUGCUGGGGGGGAAUACCUGAAAUACUGCACUCCCAGAACCCUUUCCAGCAGCACAAGUUACUUGUUGCUUGAAUAACAAGCAUCCAUAACUACAUGUCACUUUGAAUUGUCCCAUUGACUCACUGGCACCACACAAUAAAACAGUCCUUUUCCUUCUGGGACUUAGGAGUGCUGCUCUGUCCGUGCCUGCACAGAUGGACACCUAUGUAAGCUGCAAGCUGAAUGAGAGAACAAUGUUCCCUGAUGGUUUGUCUUUAUGCAACAGACAGAGCCAAGGAGAUUAUGUGAACGAUCUACUUUGGUUAAUUCUUCAUCUUAUAGAAAUUUAAUGUUUUAUUAAUUUUAUAAA
Pipra filicauda (Wire-tailed manakin) is the source of this 7209-nucleotide long non-coding RNA. RefSeq lists it as uncharacterized. The transcript has 4 exons. The record is from RefSeq and is a predicted model, not a curated record. Lineage: Eukaryota; Metazoa; Chordata; Aves; Passeriformes; Pipridae.